AGUUGUAGCCGAUGAGUCGGAAACUCUCGACUCAUUUUCUUCAGAAACUAGAGGUGAUUGAGACUCAACCGGAUCUCUAGAAUCGCGUUUUUCGGCAAUUAAAGGUGACUCAGCCAGCUCUGCUUUUUCAGUUGUAGCCGAUGAGUCGGAAACUCUCGACUCAUUUUCUUCAGAAACUAGAGGUGAUUGAGACUCAACCGGAUCUCUAGAAUCGCGUUUUUCGGCAAUUAAAGGUGACUCAGCCAGCUCUGCUUUUUCAGUUGUAGCUGAUGACGCGGAAACUCUCGACUCAUUUUCUUGAGAAACUAGAGGUGACGGAGGCUCAACUGGAUCUCUGGAAUCGAGUUCUUCGGCAAUUAAAGGUGACUCAGCCAGCUCUGCUUUUUCAGUUGUAGCUGAUGACGCGGAAACUCUCGACUCAUUUUCUUGAGAAACUAGAGGUGAUGGAGACUCAACCGGAUCUUUGGAAUCGCGUUUUUCGGCAAUUAAAGGUGACUCAGCCAGCUCUGCUUUUUCAGUUGCAGCAGAUGACUCAGAAACUCCAGACUCA
This 550-nucleotide long non-coding RNA is filed under the name Linum usitatissimum (flax). Its description in RNAcentral is "long non-coding RNA (LUSI_LNC003917)". The record is from RNAcentral. Lineage: Eukaryota; Viridiplantae; Streptophyta; Magnoliopsida; Malpighiales; Linaceae.